AUUGCACCUACCGAAGACUAUCAAACUCCGAAUGCCGUCAUCUUAUACUUGGGAGUCAGACUGUGGGUGAUAAGAUUCAUAGUCGAAAGGGCAACAGCCCAGAUCGUCAGCUAAGGUCCCUAAAUGUAAGAUAAGUGGUAAAGGAUGUGGGAUUGCACAGACAACCAGGAUGUUGGCUUAGAAGCAGCCACUCAUUCAAAGAGUGCGUAAUAGCUCACUGGUCGAGUGAUCCUGCGCCGAAGAUUUCCGGGGCUAAAACUUACUACCGAAGCUACGGCAUCAGUAAUGAUGGGUAGGGGAGCUUCCCAUACGGGUUGAAGCAUGACCGUAAGGACAUGUGGACAGUAUGGGAGUGAGAAUGUUGGCAUGAGUAGCGAGAUGUGGGUGAGAAUCCCACAGGCCGUAAACCCAAGGUUUCCAGGGGAAGGUUCGUCCGCCCUGGGUUAGUCGGGACCUAAGCUGAGGCCGAAAGGCGUAGGUGAUGGACAACAGGUUGAUAUUCCUGUACUACCGAUAACCGUUUGAGAGAAGGGAUGACACAGUAGGAUAAGCUAAGCACACUGUUGGUUAUGUGUGCCCAAGCAUUGAGGCAGUCAAAGUAGGCAAAUCCGCUUUGAUAAUGCUGGGAUGUGAUGGGGAGCGAAAUUUAGUAGCGAAGUAGCUGAUUUCACACUGUCAAGAAAAGUCUCUAUCGAGGUUAAAGGUACCCGUACCGCAAACCGACACAGGUGGGUGAGGAGAGUAUCCUAAGGCCAGCGAGAGAACUGUUGUUAAGGAACUCGGCAAAAUGACCCCGUAACUUAGGGAUAAGGGGUGCCACCAUCAGGUGGCCGCAGAGAAUAGGCCCAAGCGACUGUUUACCAAAAACAUAGGUUUCUGCUAAGUCGCAAGACGAUGUAUAGGAGCUGACGCCUGCCCGGUGCUGGAAGGUUAAGGGGAUCUGUUAGAGCAAUCGAAGCAGUGAACUUAAGCCCCAGUAAACGGCGGCCGUAACUAUAACGGUCCUAAGGUAGCGAAAUUCCUUGUCGGGUAAGUUCCGACCCGCACGAAAGGCGUAACGAUUUGGGCACUGUCUCAACAACAGACUCGGUGAAAUUGUAAUUCCGGUGAAGAUGCCGGAUACCUGCGACAGGACGGAAAGACCCCAUGGAGCUUUACUGUAGCUUGACAUUGGGUCUUGGUACUACAUGUACAGGAUAGGUGGGAGGCUUUGAAACCAGGACGCCAGUUUUGGCGGAGCCAUCCUUGGGAUACCACCCUUGUAGUACUGGGACUCUAACCAUAGGCCAUGAAUCUGGUCUUGGGACACUGUCAGGUGGGCAGUUUGACUGGGGCGGUCGCCUCCCAAAAGGUAACGGAGGCGCUCAAAGGUUCUCUCAGUACGGUCGGAAAUCGUACGUAGAGUGUAAAGGCAAAAGAGAGCUUGAUUGCAAGACAUACAGGUCGAGCAAGGAUGAAAAUCGGACUUAGUGAUCCGGUGGUUCUGCGUGGAAGGGCCAUCGCUCAACGGAUAAAAGCUACCCUGGGGAUAACAGGCUUAUCUCCCCCAAGAGUCCACAUCGACGGGGAGGUUUGGCACCUCGAUGUCGGCUCAUCACAUCCUGGGGCUGUAGUAGGUCCCAAGGGUUGGGCUGUUCGCCCAUUAAAGUGGUACGCGAGCUGGGUUCAGAACGUCGUGAGACAGUUCGGUCCCUAUCCGUCGCAGGCGUAGGAAAUUUGAGAAGACCUGUCCUUAGUACGAGAGGACCGGGAUGGACGUACCUCUGGUGUACCAGUUGUUCUGCCAAGGGCAUGGCUGGGUAGCUAUGUACGGAAUGGAUAAGCGCUGAAAGCAUCUAAGCGCGAAGCCAACUUCAAGAUAAGAUUUCCCACCGCAAGGGUAAGACCCCAGAAAGACUAUCUGGUUGAUAGGUCGAAGGUGUAAGUGCAGCAAUGUAUUUAGCUUAUCGAUACUAAUAGGUCGAGGACUUGACCAA
Molecule: ribosomal RNA, 1976 nt
Filed under: Clostridioides difficile
Lineage: Bacteria; Bacillati; Bacillota; Clostridia; Peptostreptococcales; Peptostreptococcaceae
Description: 23S ribosomal RNA
Rfam family: Bacterial large subunit ribosomal RNA
Source: RNAcentral